RNAcentral lists this ribosomal RNA (1237 nucleotides) under metagenome. RNAcentral's name for it is "bacterial LSU rRNA". It matches the Rfam family "Bacterial large subunit ribosomal RNA", at positions 1564 to 2808 of the family's 2925-position model. The record is from RNAcentral.
UGAGUACGAGAUGCUACGGCAUCGAAGCAGUCUAUGUCAUACUUCCAAGAAAAGCUUGCAAUGUCAUAAACAAAUAAUGCCUGUACCAUAACCGACACAGGUGGGUAGGUAGAGUAUACUAAGGGGCGCGAGAUAACUCUCUCUAAGGAACUCGGCAAAAUGACUCCGUAACUUCGGGAGAAGGAGUGCCUUAUUUUUAUAAGGUUGCAAUAACAAGAUCCAAGCAACUGUUUACCAAAAACACAGGUCUCCGCUAAGUCGUAAGACGAUGUAUGGGGGCUGACGCCUGCCCAGUGCCAGAAGGUUAAAGAAGUUGGUUAGCAUUAGCGAAGCUGAUAACUGAAGCCCUGGUGAACGGCGGCCGUAACAAUAACGGUCCUAAGGUAGCGAAAUUCCUUGUCGGGUAAGUUCCGACCCGCACGAAAGGCGUAAUGAUUUGGAUACUGUCUCGGAGAGGGGCUCGGUGAAAUAGACUUGUCUGUGAAGAUGCGGACUACCUGCACCUGGACAGAAAGACCCUAUGAAGCUUUACUGUAACUUGAGAUUGAAAUUGGACUUUAUCUGCGCAGUAUAGGUGGGAGACGUUGAAAAUAUUCUUGCGGGAAUAUUGGAGUCAUCAGUGAGAUACCACUCUUAUAAUGUUAGAUUUCUAACUUUGUAUCAUUAUCUGGUCAAAGAACAGUUUCAGGCGGGCAGUUUGACUGGGGCGGUCGCCUCCCAAACGGUAACGGAGGCGCACAAAGGUUUCCUCUGAACGUGUAGAAAUCGUAUCUAGAGUGUAAAGGCAUAAGGAAGCUUGACUGUGAGACCUACAAGUCGAGCAGGGACGAAAGUCGGUCUUAGUGAUCUGACGGUGCUGAGUGGAAAGGCCGUCACUCAACGGAUAAAAGUUACUCUAAGGAUAACAGGCUGAUCUCCCCCAAGAGUUCACAUCGACGGGGAGGUUUGGCACCUCGAUGUCGGCUCAUCGCAUCCUGGGGCGGUAGUACGUCCCAAGGGUUGGGCUGUUCGCCCAAGAAAGCGGUACGCGAGCUGGGUUCAGAACGUCGUGAGACAGUUCGGUCCAUAUCCGGUGUAGGCGUUAGAAUAUUGAGAGGAGCCUUCUUUAGUACGAGAGGACCGAGAAGGACAUACUUCUGGUGUACCAGUUAUCGUGCCAACGGUAAACGCUGGGUAGCCAUGUAUGGAGAGGAUAACCGCUGAAAGCAUCUAAGUGGGAAGCCCACCUCAAGAUAAG